CAGCAGGAGCUAGACCUGCCGGGGUAAAAGUCAGGCGCCCCGUAGCUCGGAUAGCAGGGUGGCGGGAAACCAAGACUCUGAAGCCUAUCGACAGGUGGCCCUUGGGGGCCGCGCGAGUCAUCGGGCCGUAACAAAA
RNAcentral lists this non-coding RNA (136 nucleotides) under Paraburkholderia hospita. Lineage: Bacteria; Pseudomonadati; Pseudomonadota; Betaproteobacteria; Burkholderiales; Burkholderiaceae. The record is from RNAcentral.